CGACCUCGGAUCAGGUAGGGAUACCCGCUGAACUUAAGCAUAUCAAUA
This 48-nucleotide ribosomal RNA is filed under the name Umbilicaria cinereorufescens. Its description in RNAcentral is "partial 26S ribosomal RNA". The record is from RNAcentral. Lineage: Eukaryota; Fungi; Ascomycota; Lecanoromycetes; Umbilicariales; Umbilicariaceae.